RNAcentral lists this ribosomal RNA (450 nucleotides) under uncultured Escherichia/Shigella sp. RNAcentral describes it as "bacterial SSU rRNA". It matches the Rfam family "Bacterial small subunit ribosomal RNA", at positions 354 to 796 of the family's 1533-position model. Lineage: Bacteria; Pseudomonadati; Pseudomonadota; Gammaproteobacteria; Enterobacterales; Enterobacteriaceae. The record is from RNAcentral.
GUGGGGAAUAUUGCACAAUGGGCGCAAGCCUGAUGCAGCCAUGCCGCGUGUAUGAAGAAGGCCUUCGGGUUGUAAAGUACUUUCAGCGGGGAGGAAGGCGAUGUGGUUAAUAACCGCGUCGAUUGACGUUACCCGCAGAAGAAGCACCGGCUAACUCCGUGCCAGCAGCCGCGGUAAUACGGAGGGUGCAAGCGUUAAUCGGAAUUACUGGGCGUAAAGCGCACGCAGGCGGUCUGUCAAGUCGGAUGUGAAAUCCCCGGGCUCAACCUGGGAACUGCAUCCGAAACUGGCAGGCUUGAGUCUCGUAGAGGGGGGUAGAAUUCCAGGUGUAGCGGUGAAAUGCGUAGAGAUCUGGAGGAAUACCGGUGGCGAAGGCGGCCCCCUGGACGAAGACUGACGCUCAGGUGCGAAAGCGUGGGGAGCAAACAGGAUUAGAAACCCUAGUAGUCC